Molecule: ribosomal RNA, 497 nt
Filed under: uncultured bacterium
Lineage: Bacteria
Description: partial 16S ribosomal RNA
Rfam family: Bacterial small subunit ribosomal RNA
Source: RNAcentral
GAUGAACGCUGGCGGCGUGCCUAAUACAUGCAAGUCGAGCGAACAGACGAGGAGCUUGCUCCUCUGACGUUAGCGGCGACCGGGUGAGUAACACGUGAGUAACCUACCUAUAAGACUGGGAUAACUUCGGGAAAACGGAGCUAAUACCGUAUAACAUGUUGAACCGCAUGGUUCAACAGUGAAAGACGGUUUUGCAGUCACUUAUAGAUGGAUCCGCGUCGCAUUAGCUAGUUGGUAAGGUAACGGCUUACCAAGGCAACGAUGCGUAGCGGACCUGAAAGGGUGAUCGGCCAGACUGGAACUGAGACUCGGUCCAGACUCCGACGGUAGGCAGCAGUAGGGAAUCUUACGCAAUGGGCGAAAGCCUGACGGAGCAACGCCGCGUGAGUGAAGAAGGUCUUCGGAUCGGAAAACUCUGUUAUUAGGGAAGAACAAAUGUGUAAGUAACUAUGCACGUCUUGACGGUACCUAAUCAGAAAGCCACGGCUAACUACGUG